GAUAAACGCUGGCGGCGUGCCUAAUACAUGCAAGUCGAACGAGAGGGUAACCUCGAGUGGCGGACGGGUGAGGAACGCGUGGGUGAUCUACCGUUGAGUGGGGGAUACCCGCUAGAAAUAGCGGCUAAUACCGCAUACGGUGACGAUUUCGCUAUCGUCACGAAAGCAGCAAUGCGCUGAACGAGGAGCCCGCGUCUGAUUAGCUAGUUGGUGGGGUAACGGCCUACCAAGGCGACGAUCAGUAACUGGUCUGAGAGGAUGAUCAGUCACACUGGGA
This 277-nucleotide ribosomal RNA is filed under the name uncultured bacterium. RNAcentral describes it as "partial 16S ribosomal RNA". It matches the Rfam family "Bacterial small subunit ribosomal RNA", at positions 28 to 318 of the family's 1533-position model. The record is from RNAcentral.